RNAcentral lists this ribosomal RNA (497 nucleotides) under uncultured bacterium. Its description in RNAcentral is "partial 16S ribosomal RNA". It matches the Rfam family "Bacterial small subunit ribosomal RNA", at positions 28 to 507 of the family's 1533-position model. The record is from RNAcentral.
GACGAACGCUGGCGGCGUGCCUAAUACAUGCAAGUUGAGCGCUGAAGGUUGGUACUUGUACCAACUGGAUGAGCAGCGAACGGGUGAGUAACGCGUGGGGAAUCUGCCUUUGAGCGGGGGACAACAUUUGGAAACGAAUGCUAAUACCGCAUAAAAACUUUAAACACAAGUUUUAAGUUUGAAAGAUGCAAUUGCAUCACUCAAAGAUGAUCCCGCGUUGUAUUAGCUAGUUGGUGAGGUAAAGGCUCACCAAGGCGAUGAUACAUAGCCGACCUGAGAGGGAGAUCGGCCACAUUGGGACUGAGACACGGCCCAAACUCCUACGGGAGGCAGCAGUAGGAAAUCUUCGGCAAUGGACGAAAGUCUGACCGAGCAACGCCGCGUGAGUGAAGAAGGUUUUCGGAUCGUAAAACUCUGUUGGUAGAGAAGAACGUUGGUGAGAGUGGAAAGCUCAUCAAGUGACGGUAACUACCCAGAAAGGGACGGCUAACUACGUG